UUCACAUUAAUUUAGAAACAAUACUAAUGUUUUAACUCAGGAAGAGUUCAGAAAUCAAUAUUUGGUUGAAUAAUAAGGAGGUUUUCAUUGGGGUUCAAUGCAGUGCGCUGCUCUAUAGAGAGUUUUAAUUUCAAGUCCAAAUGAACUUUCAUUAUUAAACAGAAAAGUAAAUAAUAUUUUUAGGAAAUGUUUAUAAUGUAAACAUUCCAAACUGUGUCUUGAAGAAUCUGCCUUUCCUCUAAGAUGCUCGAGGUUUUUCAUGAAUCCAAAUUUGUCCCCGAUGCCACAAAGGCUGUUAAAUAACCCCACACUUAAAAUAAUUACAGCUAAUUUCAGCAUUUUAUAAUUUUUUGUGAUAAUAAUAAGGUGCAAACAAAAUCAUGAUAAUUGUAUUGUACUCAAAUCUCUAGAAAAGUUGUAAAAGCUACAGAAAAAUGUCUAGAAAUCUGAGUAUGGAAGCAAUGUGUCGGAGCCCGGUACUGAAGGAAUUACCCACGUCUGAACUCCAAGGAUUUGUUUGGUUUUUGUAUAUUUUAAUCCAAGCUGCCCAUCCGUCUUUUGUUUUUUUCUCCAUCCGCCUGUCAUGGCUUCAUCACAUCCUCAGGCUGCAAAGAUUUUUCCAUCUUUACAUAAAAUUACCUUUUAGGAGUCCAACUAUCUUUCUGGACAACUUAGAGGCACUACAGCAGUGAAGUUCACACCGAAUCACACAAAGAUGACAGCUUGUCUUUUUUUUUUUUUGUUUUCCAAAAUAUGCUGUAGUUUAAGAAAAGCACCAUUUGAGCUUCUCUAAAUUGUUUAAUGUCAUCAGUAGGAACUCAAGCAUCCAUAUCAGACAAUAGCAUCAGUGAUAGUACAACAAACUCUGGUGUUUCCAACAACAAAACUGAAUAGUGGGUGGAAGUUGCGUACCCUAAAGGGGUGAAGAACAUUACAUGGUGGUGAUUUAUCUCUUAGUAAAACCCCGUACCCAAACACCUAGUCGUUUAGAAUGAAGAUAAGUAUCUUUGGGAGUGGAAGGGCUCUCCUGUAAAGCUGGAUGUCUGGAGGGGAUGCGGAUGUGGCGGGCAGGGAAGCUUUAGCUGGUUGGGAUUGGGUGGGAGAGAGCGCAGGCUUUGACCAGAGGGUUUCAGAUGUCAUAGCAGAUUCUUUCAGGGCAAAUUACAGGGUUUAACCUCUCUUGUCCCAGAGAAUGGCAGCGUUCUGAUUUAACUUCCUUGACAGACACUCAAGCAACCUGCUACUCAACACCAUUGUCGGGGGAGGGGAGGUGGGCGAGUGGGGCACACUUGACUUGGAAGAUACUUCACCUCCUUUCAGGCGUUCGAGGGCCCUUCAGGACUCUGCUCGCUGUGGUCCGUUGGUGGCCUUUCUACUUCAUUCUGCGACUGCACUUGCCUCCGGACUUGUCCGACACGGCGAGUCGUGUCAGCAGGGGGGAGCCUGUAGGAGUGGCUUCUGCCUGUGGCUCCGGCGCUUCCGGCACCAAAAACCUGGAUUUCUGACAGGAAACCAAAGACUGAAUCACCGUGGCCGUUGCCCUCUUUGCUGCGGCAACCGGGGUGUUGCCUCGUUCAGGUGAUGUCAGCUGCUAUGAAGCAGCCGGCCGUUACCACCUGCCAACCAGGCCAGCCAGAGGUGAAGACCUAAACUUCCACAACACCUCUGCUCAUAGCAAACACAUUUAUUGUUUGCAUUAAAUGUUUUAUUUUGCGCAGAUAUAUUAAGUUGUCAUGAUUUUGUCCACACAUUAAAUAAAAUCUCAUAAAAAGUUGCAUUACAAGACAAGUUUGUUUCUUUUCACUUUUGUUACCCACAAAAAGGCUCGCCUCCGCCGCCGGUGUAAUCAUGAAAUAUUUUACAGCCUUUACAGAUUCUCCAUCCUGGGAAACGUUGAAUAAUUUAUCUUUGUUCUUGGCUUUCUUUACAAACAAGAGGCAUCUGCUGUGCUGCUCCACCAUUUAAAUCAGUCCGCAAAUACAAUUUAUGUUCCGGGACAGAGCAAUGUGCUCUUGUGAAAUUAAUUAAAGAAGAGAACAACUGUACGAAACCCAACACGGUCUCUCUGUUGGAUCUUGGUUCAACUCUGAGGAGCGUCCUGCAUGGCAGCGCUCCGGUCUGCCUGACUGGUUUCAGGUUUAUACAGAAAAGCUCCAGUCUAAUCCACAGAGACGUUGCUGGUGAGCGGCGUCUACAUCCACAGAGCUGAAACAAUAGGAAUGUGGGCAGAGGGGGCGCAGGCUUCACACCUCAUGUGCUGUGUUUGAUGGAUGAGCUGCUGCUUUAAAGAUCAAAUUAGGUCAAACGGUCACAUGCAAAAUUUAAAAAAUGAAAAUUAAAGUACCAUGAUAAAUGAAAUGUUUUUUUUUUCUUUUGUUGGAAGUUGAUACCACUUUGAAUCUUUUUGCCUGUUGAAACCUGGUGUUGUGGGACACACAGGUCACUUUUAUGGAACUGCUGCUUAAUAUUUCGGUGAUGGCGUCUGAAGGACUGGGAUGGACUGUCCAGAACCUACCCCACCUCUCGCCUGUUGAACCCUGGGGACCCCGCCAGGUGUAAGCGUGUAAGAUAAUGAAUGGAUGGAUGAACAUAUAAUGGAAACACAUUAAAAGUUAAUUCCAGGAGAAGAGAUUAAUUUUGUAAUGUUUUUAUGUUUGCUUCUUUUUGGUCCAGUUUGACCUGAAAACAUUCGGUGCUGGGUCGCUGUUCUUUGAUGUUCAGAUUAUCAACAAACAUCAUCACCCACGAAUAG
Molecule: long non-coding RNA, 2752 nt
Organism: Poecilia latipinna (sailfin molly)
Lineage: Eukaryota; Metazoa; Chordata; Actinopteri; Cyprinodontiformes; Poeciliidae
Exons: 2
Source: RefSeq, a predicted model, not a curated record